ACAUGAUAUAUAUAUAACAUGAUGAGCAGACUGUAUUGUGUGUGUGUAUAUAUAUAUAUAUAUAUAUACACAAUACAGUCUGCACAUCAUGUUAUAAACAGU
Molecule: non-coding RNA, 102 nt
Organism: Pelobates cultripes (western spadefoot toad)
Lineage: Eukaryota; Metazoa; Chordata; Amphibia; Anura; Pelobatidae
Source: the annotation of a GenBank genome assembly